ACAAAAGGGGGGGAAAACAGAAGAAGAAGAAGAGGAAGAAAGCAGGUACAAGGAAGAUGAAAUCACUGUCUCUAAUAUGAUUAUUUAGUUUCCAACAGAAGUAGGUCUAUUUUCAGCCAAUCCCAAGGGUGAUCUUGAGCGCUGUUGUCGACUGACGAGGGUGAUUUCUUUAAGAGCUGGUCUCAUCUCUGGCUGCUGAAGAGCACAGAGUAGCAAUCAUAACACACAGAUUUCUCUUUGACAUUUCACCAAACAUCUUAUAUGCAUUCACAAAUUAAUCACAUUUAACUUAAACGUCUAGUCAAGUCCUAGAUGCUUCAUAUGGCUAUUAAGCAUGUUUUACCAGUAGACAAUCCAAACUACAACCAAAUCAAGGCUAGAUGUUUCAGUGGACAUUUUCAGCCCCAAAAUUGCAAUAAAAUCUUCAAAUUCUCAGCCUUGAUUUCGCAAGAAAAUCUUGACAAACAAAACAAAUGAAAUAUAAAUAAAUUACAGCAAUAUAAUCAAACGAUUUCAAGAGGACAUGAUGGGCUAACCUCGUCACUGCUAUCUUUGAUUGGCUACCACCGUCGAAAAACCCUUUUGUUGUGUCUGCAUUUGGCAGCAUCCAAAAACAAU
This 618-nucleotide long non-coding RNA is filed under the name Coffea arabica (coffee). RNAcentral's name for it is "long non-coding RNA (CARA_LNC006487)". The record is from RNAcentral. Lineage: Eukaryota; Viridiplantae; Streptophyta; Magnoliopsida; Gentianales; Rubiaceae.